UACGGGGGGGGCAAGCGUUGUUCGGAAUUACUGGGCGUAAAGGGCUCGUAGGCGGCCAACUAAGUCAGACGUGAAAUCCCUCGGCUUAACCGGGGAACUGCAUCUGAUACUGGAUGGCUUGAGUUCGGGAGAGGGAUGCGGAAUUCCAGGUGUAGCGGUGAAAUGCGUAGAUAUCUGGAGGAACACCGGUGGCGAAGGCGGCUCUCUGGGCCGAUACUGACGCUGAGGAGCGAAAGCGUGGGGAGCGAACAGG
Molecule: ribosomal RNA, 253 nt
Filed under: uncultured bacterium
Lineage: Bacteria
Description: partial 16S ribosomal RNA
Rfam family: Bacterial small subunit ribosomal RNA
Source: RNAcentral